RNAcentral lists this ribosomal RNA (805 nucleotides) under uncultured bacterium. RNAcentral's name for it is "bacterial SSU rRNA". It matches the Rfam family "Bacterial small subunit ribosomal RNA", at positions 34 to 835 of the family's 1533-position model. The record is from RNAcentral.
CGCUGCGGCAGGCCUAAUACAUGCAAGUCCAACGGUAACAGUCCCGGCAACGGGAGCUGACGAGUGGCGCACGGGUGCGUAACACGUAUGCAACCUACCCUGUACUGGGGGAUAACCCUGAGAAAUCGGGGCUAAUACCUCAUGGUAAUAUAGAUGGGCAUCCAUUUAUAUUUAAAGAUUCAUUGGUACGGGAUGGGCAUGCGCCCCAUUAGUUAGUUGGUGAGGUAACGGCUCACCAAGGCGAUGAUGGGUAGGGGUUCUGAGAGGAUUAUCCCCCACACUGGUACUGAGACACGGACCAGACUCCUACGGGAGGCAGCAGUAAGGAAUAUUGGGCAAUGGAGGCAACUCUGACCCAGCCAUGCCGCGUGCAGGAAGACGGCCCUAUGGGUUGUAAACUGCUUUUGUAUGGGACUAACCAUGGUUACUGGUAACCAUCUGCAUGUACCAUACGAAUAAGCAUCGGCUAACUCCGUGCCAGCAGCCGCGGUAAUACGGAGGAUGCGAGCGUUAUCCGGAAUUAUUGGGUUUAAAGGGUGCGUAGGCUGACAAGUAAGUCAGUGGUGAAAUACCCCGGCUUAACCGGGGGGUUGCCAUUGAAACUGUUUGUCUUGAGUGUAAUCGAAGUGGGCGGAAUGAGGGGUGUAGCGGUGAAAUGCAUAGAUAUUCCUCAGAACACCGAUAGCGCAGGCAGCUCACUAGCUUACAACUGACGCUGAGGCACGAAAGCGUGGGUAUCAAACAGGAUUAGAUACCCUGGUAGUCCACGCUGUAAACGAUGAUCACUAGCUGUUUGCGAUACACA